GAUGAACGCUAGCUACAGGCUUAACACAUGCAAGUCGAGGGGUAACGAGAGGAAAGCUUGCUUUCCUUGUCGACGACCGGCGCACGGGUGAGUAACGCGUAUCCAACCUGCCCCCAACUAGGGAAUAACCUUGCGAAAGUAAGACUAAUACCCUAUAAUUUCCUCAGAUGUCAUCUGACGAGGAAUAAAGAUUUAUCGGUUGUGGAUGGGGAUGCGUCUGAUUAGCUUGUUGGCGGGGUAACGGCCCACCAAGGCAACGAUCAGUAGGGGUUCCGAGAGGAAGGUCCCCCAGAUUGGAACUGAGAAACGGUCCAAACUCCUACGGGAGGCAGCAGUAAGGAAUAUUGGUCAAUGGGCGGAAGCCUGAACCAGCCAAGUAGCGUGCAGGAUGACGGCCCUAUGGGUUGUAAACUGCUUUUAUACAGGAAUAAAGUUAGCCACGUGUGGUUAUUUGUAGGUACUGUAUGAAUAAGGACCGGCUAAUUCCGUGCCAGCCGCCGCAGUAA
This 506-nucleotide ribosomal RNA is filed under the name uncultured bacterium. RNAcentral's name for it is "partial 16S ribosomal RNA". It matches the Rfam family "Bacterial small subunit ribosomal RNA", at positions 28 to 523 of the family's 1533-position model. The record is from RNAcentral.